GAUUAACGCUAGCGGCAGGCAUAAUACAUGCAAGUUGAACGGCAGCACAGGUAGCAAUACUGGGUGGCGAGUGGCGCACGGGUGCGUAACACGUAUGCAACCUACCCUAUACAGGCGAAUAACCUUUAGAAAUGAGGGCUAAUACGCCGUAGUAUUACAGAUGGGCAUCUAUUUGUAAUUAAAGAUUUAUCGGUAUAGGAUGGGCAUGCGUCCCAUUAGUUAGUUGGUAAGGUAACGGCUUACCAAGACGAUGAUGGGUAGGGGAUCUGAGAGGACUUACCCCCACACUGGUACUGAGACACGGACCAGACUCCUACGGGAGGCAGCAGUAAGGAAUAUUGGGCAAUGGCCGCGAGGCUGACCCAGCCAUGCCGCGUGCAGGAAGACGGCCUUAUGGGUUGUAAACUGCUUUUAUACGGGAAUAAUAGAGUGUACGCGUACAUUUAUGAAAGUAUCGUAUGAAUAAGCAUCGGCUAACUACGUG
RNAcentral lists this ribosomal RNA (484 nucleotides) under uncultured bacterium. RNAcentral's name for it is "partial 16S ribosomal RNA". It matches the Rfam family "Bacterial small subunit ribosomal RNA", at positions 28 to 507 of the family's 1533-position model. The record is from RNAcentral.